GGACCUUGCACUAUCGGAUGAACCCAUAUGGGAUUAGCUAGUAGGUGGGGUAAAGGCUCACCUAGGCGACGAUCUCUAGCUGGUCUGAGAGGAUGAUCAGCCACACUGGGACUGAGACACGGCCCAGACUCCUACGGGAGGCAGCAGUGGGGAAUAUUGCACAAUGGGCGCAAGCCUGAUGCAGCCAUGCCGCGUGUAUGAAGAAGGCCUUAGGGUUGUAAAGUACUUUCAGCGGGGAGGAA
RNAcentral lists this ribosomal RNA (242 nucleotides) under Proteus mirabilis. RNAcentral's name for it is "partial 16S ribosomal RNA". It matches the Rfam family "Bacterial small subunit ribosomal RNA", at positions 208 to 449 of the family's 1533-position model. The record is from RNAcentral. Lineage: Bacteria; Pseudomonadati; Pseudomonadota; Gammaproteobacteria; Enterobacterales; Morganellaceae.